RNAcentral lists this ribosomal RNA (483 nucleotides) under uncultured bacterium. RNAcentral describes it as "partial 16S ribosomal RNA". It matches the Rfam family "Bacterial small subunit ribosomal RNA", at positions 30 to 506 of the family's 1533-position model. The record is from RNAcentral.
AUUGAACGCUGGCGGCAGGCCUAACACAUGCAAGUCGAGCGGAUGAAGGGAGCUUGCUCCUGGAUUCAGCGGCGGACGGGUGAGUAAUGCCUAGGAAUCUGCCUGGUAGUGGGGGAUAACGUCCGGAAACGGGCGCUAAUACCGCAUACGUCCUGAGGGGGAAAGUGGGGGAUCUUCGGACCUCACGCUAUCAGAUGAGCCUAGGUCGGAUUAGCUAGUUGGUGGGGUAAAGGCCUACCAAGGCGACGAUCCGUAACUGGUCUGAGAGGAUGAUCAGUCACACUGGAACUGAGACACGGUCCAGACUCCUACGGGAGGCAGCAGUGGGGAAUAUUGGACAAUGGGCGAAAGCCUGAUCCAGCCAUGCCGCGUGUGUGAAGAAGGUCUGCGGAUUGUAAAGCACUUUAAGUUGGGAGGAAGGGCAGUAAGUUAAUACCUUGCUGUUUUGACGUUACCAACAGAAUAAGCACCGGCUAACUUCGU